RNAcentral lists this ribosomal RNA (282 nucleotides) under uncultured bacterium. RNAcentral's name for it is "partial 16S ribosomal RNA". It matches the Rfam family "Bacterial small subunit ribosomal RNA", at positions 30 to 307 of the family's 1533-position model. The record is from RNAcentral.
AUUGAACGCUGGCGGCAGGCCUAACACAUGCAAGUCGAGCGGUAGCACAAGAGAGCUUGCUCUCUGGGUGACGAGCGGCGGACGGGUGAGUAAUGUCUGGGAAACUGCCUGAUGGAGGGGGAUAACUACUGGAAACGGUAGCUAAUACCGCAUAACGUCUUCGGACCAAAGUGGGGGACCUUCGGGCCUCACGCCAUCAGAUGUGCCCAGAUGGGAUUAGCUAGUAGGUGGGGUAAUGGCUCACCUAGGCGACGAUCCUAGCUGGUCUGAGAGGAUGACCAG